RNAcentral lists this ribosomal RNA (336 nucleotides) under Triticum aestivum (bread wheat). RNAcentral's name for it is "partial small subunit ribosomal RNA". Lineage: Eukaryota; Viridiplantae; Streptophyta; Magnoliopsida; Poales; Poaceae. The record is from RNAcentral.
AUGUUUAUGCAAAUCGAACAUCAAAUCUGCUCGUUCACAAAACAUCUGUUUCAUAGAGAGUUGCCUUAUAAACCUCUGCUCUGGAAUUACAUAGAGAGUUACCUUGAACCUGAAUUGCGGCUUACAGUUACAAUAUGCGCGGCAAAAGUUAUUAAGAAAAUUGCGUUAUUUACUUGCUCGCACCAACUUAAACUGCCAGUUGCUGUAGCUAUUUUCAAAAAGGAAAGAAGAUGGCAAAAUAAUACAAAGUUCCAUCCUAUAACCAUAAGUAAACUCGGUCGUAAAUCAAAGAUAACUACUACAGGAGCUGAUCCACGCUUUCAUCCUCAUAUGUGA